UACGGGGGGGGCAAGCGUUGUUCGGAAUUACUGGGCGUAAAGGGCGCGUAGGCGGUUUGCUAAGUUGGAUGUGAAAACUCUGGGCUUAACCCAGAGCCUGCAUCCAAAACUGGCAAACUUGAGUACUGGAGGGGAAAGCGGAAUUCCUGGUGUAGCGGUGAAAUGCGCAGAUAUCAGGAGGAACACCGGUGGCGAAGGCGGGUCUCUGGGCCGUAACUGACGCUGAGGAGCGAAAGCAUGGGGAGCGAACAGG
This 253-nucleotide ribosomal RNA is filed under the name uncultured bacterium. RNAcentral describes it as "partial 16S ribosomal RNA". It matches the Rfam family "Bacterial small subunit ribosomal RNA", at positions 524 to 776 of the family's 1533-position model. The record is from RNAcentral.